UAACACGUAGGUAACCUGCCUAUGUGCCCGGGAUAACUUCUGGAAACGGAUGCUAAAACCGGAUAGGUAGCAGACAAGCAUUUGACUGCUAUUAAAGUGGCUAAGGCCAUGAACAUGGAUGGACCUGCGGUGCAUUAGCUAGUUGGUGAGGUAACGGCCCACCAAGGCGACGAUGCAUAGCCGGCCUGAGAGGGCGGACGGCCACAUUGGGACUGAGACACGGCCCAAACUCCUACGGGAGGCAGCAUG
RNAcentral lists this ribosomal RNA (249 nucleotides) under uncultured bacterium. Its description in RNAcentral is "partial 16S ribosomal RNA". It matches the Rfam family "Bacterial small subunit ribosomal RNA", at positions 111 to 353 of the family's 1533-position model. The record is from RNAcentral.